GCUAGCUACAGGCUUAACACAUGCAAGUCGAGGGGCAGCAUUUUAGUUUGCUUGCAAACUGAAGAUGGCGACCGGCGCACGGGUGAGUAACACGUAUCCAACCUGCCGAUAACUCCGGAAUAGCCUUUCGAAAGAAAGAUUAAUACCGGAUAGCAUACGAAUAUCGCAUGAUAUUUUUAUUAAAGAAUUUCGGUUAUCGAUGGGGAUGCGUUCCAUUAGUUUGUUGGCGGGGUAACGGCCCACCAAGACUACGAUGGAUAGGGGUUCUGAGAGGAAGGUCCCCCACAUUGGAACUGAGACACGGUCCAAACUCCUACGGGAGGCAGCAGUGAGGAAUAUUGGUCAAUGGGCGAGAGCCUGAACCAGCCAAGUAGCGUGAAGGAUGAAGGCUCUAUGGGUCGUAAACUUCUUUUAUAUGGGAAUAAAGUUUUCCACGUGUGGAAUUUUGUAUGUACCAUAUGAAUAAGGAUCGGCUAACUCCGUGCCAGCAGCCGCGGUAAUACGGAGGAUCCGAGCGUUAUCCGGAUUUAUUGGGUUUAAAGGGAGCGUAGGUGGAUUGUUAAGUCAGUUGUGAAAGUUUGCGGCUCAACCGUAAAAUUGCAGUUGAAACUGGCAGUCUUGAGUACAGUAGAGGUGGGCGGAAUUCGUGGUGUAGCGGUGAAAUGCUUAGAUAUCACGAAGAACUCCGAUUGCGAAGGCAGCUCACUAGACUGUCACUGACACUGAUGCUCGAAAGUGUGGGUAUCAAACAGGAUUAGAUACCCCUGGUAGUCCACACAGUAAACGAUGAAUACUCGCUGUUUGCGAUAUACAGUAAGGGGCCAAGCGAAACCAUUAAGUUUUCCACUGGGGGAGUACGCCCGGCAACGGUGAAAUUCAAAGGAAUUGACGGGGGCCCCCCACAAGCGGAGGAACAUGUGGUUUAAUUGGAUGAUACGCGAGGACCCUUACCGGGGCUUAAAUUGCACCAGAAUAUAUUGGAACCAGUAUAGCGGUAAGGCUGUGGUGAAGGUGCUGCAUGGUUGUCGUCAGCUCGUGCCGUGAGGUGUGGGCUUAAGUGCCAUAACGAGCGCAACCCUUAUCUUUAGUUAUUAACAGGUCAUGCUGAGGACUCUAGAGAGACUGCCGUCGUAAGAUGUGAGGAAGGUGGGGAUGACGUCAAAUCAGCACGGCCCUUACGUCCGGGGCUACACACGUGUUACAAUGGGGGGUACAGAAGGCGGCUACCUGGUGACAGGAUGCUAAUCCCAAAAACCUCUCUCAGUUCGGAUCGAAGUCUGCAACCCGACUUCGUGAAGCUGGAUUCGCUAGUAAUCGCGCAUCAGCCAUGGCGCGGUGAAUACGUUCCCGGGCCUUGUACACACCGCCCGUCAAGCCAUGAAAGCCGGGGGUACCUGAAGUACGUAACCGCAAGGAGCGUCCUAGGGUAAAACUGGUAAUUGGGGCUAA
RNAcentral lists this ribosomal RNA (1449 nucleotides) under uncultured organism. Its description in RNAcentral is "16S ribosomal RNA". It matches the Rfam family "Bacterial small subunit ribosomal RNA". The record is from RNAcentral.